Colias croceus (clouded yellow) is the source of this 762-nucleotide long non-coding RNA. RefSeq lists it as uncharacterized. The transcript has 2 exons. NCBI's taxonomy places the organism in Eukaryota, Metazoa, Arthropoda, Insecta, Lepidoptera, Pieridae. The record is from RefSeq and is a predicted model, not a curated record.
AAAAACUUGAGGGCGGUGACGGAAUGUCAAAAAUUCUGUUGUGGGUCGCAGCUAGCGCCGCCAACAAAGAAAUUAAAAUUUAAAAUGCCUGAGGGUGUGAGUGGCAGUUGAAGGAAAGAAGAAAGAAAGAACGUUUAUUAUAUUGAAGGCAGUACGAUGGAAUGACAUAAAAAAUACGGAAAAGAUCUUCCUACCAAACAGACACUGAAAGUCACCCUAAACCCAACAUAGACAAACACAGAACCUAAAACUUCACACAAACAUAACGCCACCGAUCUACCAUCAUACAUCAAGCAGCAGAGCGAAGCCAUCUAAUAAAGCUAGUCUCAUAAAAAUGGCCACAUAAUUUCAAAUCUUGUACGACCGCUAGUCGCAAGUCGGUGUGACCGUCACGGCGAGCGCACAUCUGAAUUAUUCAUUGAACGUAAUUAAAUGUCUUGUGCUGUAAAGCAUUGACACUAGCUUGUGGGAUUUGUGUGGGGCUUUUGAUCGGGUGACUCAAAACAGAGUGUAGUAAGAAGGAUAUGUUGGACUAAUUGAUAGAAUUGAGGAUAACGACUCGAAGAGCUGUUUUGUUUAUGGGCUGAUUAUUAAAUCACUAUUGGUGACAUUGGAGGAAGUAUAGAGAGCAAAAUAUGUUUCUUGUUUUGUAUACAAUUAAAAUUGAAUUUGAUAUUUGUGAAAAUUAAACUUUAUCAAUCUUUCUGACUAAGUAACUGUUCUCAAGAGCAAUAAAUCAUUUUGAAAUUUAGAAUUACUUAA